Molecule: non-coding RNA, 115 nt
Filed under: Facklamia hominis
Lineage: Bacteria; Bacillati; Bacillota; Bacilli; Lactobacillales; Aerococcaceae
Also listed under: 1 other name
Description: FMN sequence
Rfam family: FMN riboswitch aptamer (RFN element)
About the family: The RFN element is a highly conserved domain that is found frequently in the 5'-untranslated regions of prokaryotic mRNAs that encode for flavin mononucleotide (FMN) biosynthesis and transport proteins. This element is a metabolite-dependent riboswitch that directly binds FMN in the absence of proteins.
Source: RNAcentral
AAAGGUCUUCGGGGCAGAGUGAAAUUCUCGACCGGCGGUAAAGUCCGCGAGCUAAUUUAGCAGAACUGGUGUAAUUCCAGUACCGACAGUAUAGUCUGGAUGGUAGAAGAUUGGA